UAUGCGGACGGCGCAAGCCCGGGGCUGGUAAUCGCCUCUUCUUCGUCGCUAAGGCUGAUCCGUUCGACUCGUGGCUCCCCAGCCAUUAGUCAGCGGGUGUCACGAGGAGGCUCUGCCGGAUGCGCUUCCCCUUUGCCGCGAAGCCGUUAAGGCGGUCGCUGCUGCUGCUGCUGCUGCUUACGUACGCCAUCGCCGGAUCGGUACACGAGGAUCGUCUUCUUCGCGUGCCCCUUCGUCGUGGUUGCCGUAGUAGUAGUAGUAGUAGUAGAGAUCGUCGAAAGCGGUGGCUUUGAACGGGGCGUAUUCGUCGCAUCCUCCUCUGAUCUCGUUUGGCGUAAAGAGUAAAUGGGGGGAGUUCGCUGUAGGAGGCGGUUCGCUGGCGUGAGACUGGCGGCGGGUACCUUGAGCGCACAUACCAGGACCCGAAAGAUGGUGAUCUAUGCGUGGCGAGGAUGAAGCCAGGGGAAACCCUGGUGGAAGUCCGUAGCGAUUCUGACGUGCAAAUCGAUCGUCGGAGCUG
Molecule: ribosomal RNA, 520 nt
Filed under: Hemilepistus schirasi
Lineage: Eukaryota; Metazoa; Arthropoda; Malacostraca; Isopoda; Agnaridae
Description: partial large subunit ribosomal RNA
Rfam family: Eukaryotic large subunit ribosomal RNA (bases 420-520)
Source: RNAcentral